Molecule: RNA transcript, 793 nt
Organism: Schistocerca serialis cubense
Lineage: Eukaryota; Metazoa; Arthropoda; Insecta; Orthoptera; Acrididae
Gene name: centrosomal protein 20-like
Exons: 5
Source: RefSeq, a predicted model, not a curated record
CCUUCAGCAAUGGUAUGUCUUGUGAAUUCGAGUGGGAUCAUUUCAAUUUUUCAGAAACCCAAAUUUUCUAAACAAGACAAAGGAAUGUGUUUGUAAGAUCCUGGCGUCAGAGAUAACUUACCAUAGAGAAACAAAUCAAGGAGUGGUAGCGAGAAGUUGUCACAGCUACUGCGAAGGCGGCGAUACGAAAAAUGGAUUCAGAGCGGGAGCUCUAUGAAGCUUUAAAGGAAAACUUGGAAUCAUCGGGAAGCCUACGCAAAGUGAGAGCCGAAGUAAAAUCAGAAAUAAUGAAAGUUUUCGACACUAAUCCGCAGCCACGGGAUAAACCAGAAUUGCCCGAAAGUCUACUACUUAUUAACAGUUUAAUUCAAGAAUACUUGGAAUGGAAUGGGUACAUGUAUACGUCCCAGAUUUUAGCCGACGAGUCCGGAAUGACAAGCAAGACAUACAGUAGGCAGAGCAUGCAGAAAGAACUACAGGUUUCAGAAGACGAAAAUACUCGAAAACUUUCAGAUUCAAGAAUGCCACCAUAAAUCACAAAUACUAGAGCAAAUAGAAAUGCAAUGCAGAAGAAAGGCCUGCUAUUAGAAGGCCUCUGUUAUGCAGUUUAGUAUCAACAUUCAAGGAGGCUGCAGGUAAAAUAUCGCAGUGACAUUUUGUGUGCAUGAUUAUUAAAUUAUUAGUAGGUUUGUAUUUUUUAAAGAAGAGAUUGGUGUAGCAACAAUUGUUUAAUAAAUAUGUGUACAUUUCUGUGUGUUUUUACAAAAGCAAUUAAAGUAUACUUUGACAUUUA